Octopus bimaculoides (California two-spot octopus) is the source of this 1219-nucleotide long non-coding RNA. NCBI's taxonomy places the organism in Eukaryota, Metazoa, Mollusca, Cephalopoda, Octopoda, Octopodidae. The record is from RefSeq and is a predicted model, not a curated record.
CACAUGCACACACACAUAUAUAUACACACGCACACAAACAUGCACUGGCGCAUGCAUACACACAUACAUACACAUACUCAUACAUACACGUACAUGUAUACACACACACGUACGCACGCACAAAAGUGAACGUAUACACUUGCACAUAUGAGUACACUCUUGCACGUAUGCUCACACACAUACAUACACAGAAGCACACAGAAACGCAUAGACACACACAACACAAUAUACGCAUGCACGCACAUACACACUCUUGCACGCAUGCACGCACACAUGGACACAUUUUUCGCACGCACGCAUACAUUCGCUCACACACACACACACACACACACAUUCUCACGCUGAUGCACAUAGACUGGACGCACACAAUGUUUUGAAUUUGUUUUUGUUUUGCAAUAUGCGUACCGUUGUUUGUUACGAUGAUGGCGACGACGCCGCUGCCGACGACGACGACGAUGAUGAUGAUGACGACGAUGAUAAUAUCCCCUGCAGCUGAUAUGGCGUUGCACAAUUCGUUGCACACAGACACACAUACACACACACAUGCACACAUCUGUGCACGCGCUGCUCAUUAGCUAAAUAACAUCUACAGAGCGAGAACGACCGACGCCCGGCCUCUCUACGCGCAAACACACAACCAUGCCCGAACCAGUAAACGUAAAUCACGACCAUUUCGAUCGCACGCGCGCGAUCACACACGCAUAUACUUCAACCCCUCCUGCUAAUGCAUAAAUAUGUCUGUGCAAAGCUCCGCCCGUUUAACCAUGUAUGCUGUGUCUAACACGUGUUUAUCAAGGCAGCAAGCAUUCACGGUGUUUUCCUCGUACCAUCAUCUGCAGAGCAGCCUUUAACGACGGCCUGAAAUCGGUGGAAUCAGACCAAAUCGGGUUGCCAGCAACGACGGACAAUGCGCCGAAGUCGUUUGAAACGAAACCUCGAUUUUAGCAGCCAAGUACAAUCGUCGGCUUUUUUGCUCCUCUCUAACAAGUCAAUAUUGCUUGACCAGACGGACAGGGCCGCAUACAAGAACCCUUACAACACCAUAGCCAACAACAACAGCAACAGCAACUACUACUACUACUACUACUACUACUACUACUACUACUACUACUACUACUACUACUACUACUACUGCAAAAUUCUCCGGUCGUCUGUUGAUAUAUUAUUAACACUUGCUAAUUUCAUCUUUCUAACAGCGUUGAAAUUAUAUUGCAACACC